This 486-nucleotide ribosomal RNA is filed under the name uncultured bacterium. RNAcentral describes it as "partial 16S ribosomal RNA". It matches the Rfam family "Bacterial small subunit ribosomal RNA", at positions 28 to 507 of the family's 1533-position model. The record is from RNAcentral.
GACGAACGCUGGCGGCGUGCUUAACACAUGCAAGUCGAACGCUGAAGACCUGGCUUUUGUUGGUUUGGAUGUGUGGCGAACGGGUGAGUAACACGUGAGUAACCUGCCCUCUUCUUUGGGAUAACGCCCGGAAACGGGUGCUAAUACUGGAUAUUCACUGAUCUCCGCGUGGGGGUUGGUGGAUAGGUGUGUUCUGGUGGGGGAUGGGCUCGCGGCCUGUCAGCGUGUUGGUGGGGUGAUGGCCUACCGAGGCUGUGACGGGUGGCCGGCCUGGGAGGGUGACCGGGCACAGUGGGACUGAGAAACGGGCCAGACUCCUACGGGAGGCGGCAGUGGGGGAUAGAGCACAAUGGGCGAAAGCCAGAGGCAGCGGCGCCGCGUGAGGGAUGCGGGCCUUCGAGUUGUGAACCUCUUUCGCACAUGGUCAAGCCGCAACAGUGGGUUGUAGUGAGGGUAGUGGGUAAAGAAGCGCCGGCUAACUACGUG